AGAACGAACGCUGGCGGCAUGCCUAAUACAUGCAAGUCGAACGAACACUUCGGUGUUAGUGGCGCACGGGUGCGUAACGCGUGGGAGUCUGCCCUUGGGUUCGGAAUAACAGUUGGAAACGACUGCUAAUACCGGAUGAUAUCGAAAGAUCAAAGAUUUAUCGCCCAGGGAUGAGCCCGCGUAGGAUUAGCUAGUUGGUGAGGUAAAGGCUCACCAAGGCGACGAUCCUUAGCUGGUCUGAGAGGAUGAUCAGCCACACUGGGGACUGAGACACGGCCCAGACUCCUACGGGAGGCAGCAGUAGGGAAUAUUGGACAAUGGGCGCAAGCCUGAUCCAGCAAUGCCGCGUGAGUGAUGAAGGCC
RNAcentral lists this ribosomal RNA (363 nucleotides) under uncultured soil bacterium. RNAcentral's name for it is "bacterial SSU rRNA". It matches the Rfam family "Bacterial small subunit ribosomal RNA", at positions 26 to 416 of the family's 1533-position model. The record is from RNAcentral.